GGAAUAUUGGACAAUGGGCGAAAGCCUGAUCCAGCCAUGCCGCAUGAGUGAUGAAGGACUUAGGGUUGUAAAGCUCUUUCAGUAGGGAAGAUAAUGACGGUACCUACAGUAGCAGCCCCGGCUAACUUAGUGCCAGCAGCCGCGGUAAUACGAAGGGGGCUAGCGUUGUCCGGAUUUACUGGGCGUAAAGCGCACGUAGGCGGAUCGUUAAGUCGGGGGUGAAAUCCUGGAGCUCAACUCCAGAACUGCCUUCGAUACUGGCGAUCUUGAGUCCGGAAGAGGUGAGUGGAACUCCUAGUGUAGAGGUGGAAUUCGUAGAUAUUAGGAAGAACACCAGUGGCGAAGGCGGCUCACUGGUCCGGUACUGACGCUGAGGUGCGAAAGCGUGGGGAGCAAA
RNAcentral lists this ribosomal RNA (397 nucleotides) under uncultured bacterium. Its description in RNAcentral is "bacterial SSU rRNA". It matches the Rfam family "Bacterial small subunit ribosomal RNA", at positions 358 to 772 of the family's 1533-position model. The record is from RNAcentral.